Molecule: long non-coding RNA, 835 nt
Filed under: Trifolium pratense (red clover)
Lineage: Eukaryota; Viridiplantae; Streptophyta; Magnoliopsida; Fabales; Fabaceae
Description: long non-coding RNA (TPRA_LNC006656)
Source: RNAcentral
UUUACUAAUUUGUUAACUCCUCUUUCUAGCCACACAAACGUGAUUUGUUGGACUUAUCUUCUGCCAACAACAAGAGGAAAAUUGUCUUCUGCUUACAACAAGAGAAACACUUUCCACCUCUAGAAAAUGGGAACGAAAAUGUAAACUAAAUGGAAGCCAAGAAGAAUGCAACCUUGUUGUUAAUUUUCCAUCUCAUGAGAUCCAAGAUAGAGAAAUGCAUCCAAGUUGAAUGACUUCAGCAGCCCUUUGUACACCUUGCAAGUGUGAAAGAUUCAUGAAGGAACACUCUAACUCAUGGUAUCAUCAAGGUUUCUUGUAUGAGCACAUCUAGAAAGUCUUUCAUCAAAAGAUGCAAUAGAAUAUUCAAGCUUACAGAUUUCGGCGAUUCAUGCAGGAACAAUGGUAUUUUUUACUAGAUCUGGUAUUUUAUUUUUCUCUUCGUCCAUGACCAUUGUUGCUGGCAAUCUGUGAAGGUUAAAAUUCAAGUUCAGUGGAGAAAUUGAUGAAAGUGGGGGGGAAUGGAUGAUGUUGAAUAAAAAAGAUAUGAUGAAGAAGCUAUGAACAAAGCUAUGAUGAAGAAGAAGUUAUCAUGUGAACACACAAAGUUAGAUCUGUUUCACGAGCUUUUUUGAUUGUUUUUCAUUUCUUGUAGUGUUACUAUACUUGCAAAUGAAGGAACCAUAGACUUGUUAUGGUGCACCUUAGUGUAGUUUAUUCCUUCUUUAUCCGUAACAAAUUCCAUAUAUGAGAUUAUGAGAUAUUUUGUUGUUUUUUUUCUUUCAAAUAUUCAUUUCAUUUUUUUAAAGUGAAUAAAUAAAAGUUCCAGAGUUCGAAC